RNAcentral lists this transfer RNA (65 nucleotides) under Rhopalosiphum rufiabdominalis (rice root aphid). RNAcentral's name for it is "tRNA-Ser". The record is from RNAcentral. Lineage: Eukaryota; Metazoa; Arthropoda; Insecta; Hemiptera; Aphididae.
AGUUAAUUAAUUUAUAUAAAAUAUUUAUUUUGAAAAUAAAAAAUAGAAUUUAAUUCUAUUAACUU